AAUUUUUCUUUAUUUACUAUUGGAUACAUACAAAUAUACUAGCCAUUUUCACAAGAACAACUAACUACAAUGAAAAAAAUAGCUAAUUAAUCUAAACAAGUAAAUUUUUAACAAGUCACUAUAUACAUAUUAUAUUGCUAAUUUGUCUAUAAUAUAUUGCAAAUUAUAUAGCUAAUUUAUACAUACUUUGCUAAAUUAAUGCAUAAAAAAACUAAAAAACGACUAACGAAUCUACUUUCGAACCACCACGGGAGGGGAGAUGAGCCAUCGGAUUCCUGCACCAAGAAUGAGUUAAACAACUUGGGAACAAAAAAAUUGGGGGAGGAGGGCAGCUGGAUGGGAAAAUGGAGAGGGUGAGGGAGAGGGAGAAUGAGAGAGAGGAAAAUCAUACCUUAUAUAAAGGGGAAACACAAGAAAUAUAGCAAGUGGGAGCAUAAGAGGAGAGGGGAAAAUUAAAGAAGAAAGAAGAAAAAACAAGCUAGG
RNAcentral lists this long non-coding RNA (483 nucleotides) under Nicotiana benthamiana. RNAcentral's name for it is "long non-coding RNA (NBEN_LNC042045)". Lineage: Eukaryota; Viridiplantae; Streptophyta; Magnoliopsida; Solanales; Solanaceae. The record is from RNAcentral.